CCCCUAGAUGUUCUGGGCCGCACGCGCGCUACACUGAACAGUUCAACAAGUCUUAACCUUGGCCGAUAGGUCUGGGUAAUCUUUGAACGCUGUUCGUGAUUGGGAUAGACCUUUGCAAUUAUGGGUCUUCAACGAGGAAUUCCUAGUAAACGCAAGUCAUCAGCUUGCAUUGAUUACGUCCCUGCCCUUUGUACACACCGCCCGUCGCACCUACCGAUUGAAUGGUCCGGUGAAUUGUUUGGACUGCUGUCAGUCUUUUUGGCUGUCGGCGAGAAGCUCUGUGAACCUUAGCACCUAGAGGAAGGAGAAGUCGUAACA
RNAcentral lists this ribosomal RNA (318 nucleotides) under uncultured eukaryote. Its description in RNAcentral is "partial 18S ribosomal RNA". It matches the Rfam family "Eukaryotic small subunit ribosomal RNA", at positions 1470 to 1796 of the family's 1831-position model. The record is from RNAcentral.